GAUGAACGCUGGCGGCGUGCCUAAUACAUGCCAGUCGAGCGAACGGACGAGAAGCUUGCUUCUCUGAUGUUAGCGGCGGACGGGUGAGUAACACGUGGAUAACCUACCUAUAAGACUGGGAUAACUUCGGGAAACCGGAGCUAAUACCGGAUGAUAUUUUGAACCGCAUGGUUCAAAGGUGAAAGACGGUCUUGCUGUCACUUAUAGAUGGAUCCGCGCUGCAUUAGCUAGUUGGUAAGGUAACGGCUUACCAAGGCAACGAUGCAUAGCCGACCUGAGAGGGUGAUCGGCCACACUGGAACUGAGACACGGUCCAGACUCCUACGGGAGGCAGCAGUAGGGAAUCUUCCGCAAUGGGCGAAAGCCUGACGGAGCAACGCCGCGUGAGUGAUGAAGGUCUUCGGAUCGUAAAACUCUGUUAUUAGGGAAGAACAUAUGUGUAAGUAACUGUGCACAUCUUGACGGUACCUAAUCAGAAAGCCACGGCUAACUACGUG
RNAcentral lists this ribosomal RNA (497 nucleotides) under uncultured bacterium. RNAcentral describes it as "partial 16S ribosomal RNA". It matches the Rfam family "Bacterial small subunit ribosomal RNA", at positions 28 to 507 of the family's 1533-position model. The record is from RNAcentral.